Molecule: ribosomal RNA, 478 nt
Filed under: uncultured bacterium
Lineage: Bacteria
Description: partial 16S ribosomal RNA
Rfam family: Bacterial small subunit ribosomal RNA
Source: RNAcentral
GACGAACGCUGGCGGCGUGCUUAACACAUGCAAGUCGAACGGUAAGGCCCUUCGGGGUACACGAGUGGCGAACGGGUGAGUAACACGUGGGUGAUCUGCCCUGCACUUCGGGAUAAGCCUGGGAAACUGGGUCUAAUACCGGAUAGGACCACUGCCUGCAUGGGGGGUGGUGGAAAGCUUUUGCGGUGUGGGAUGGGCCCGCGGCCUAUCAGCUUGUUGGUGGGGGGAUGGCCUACCAAGGCGACGACGGGUAGCCGGCCUGCGAGGGUGACCGCGCCAACGGGGACUUGGAUACGGCCCAGACUCCGACGGGAGGCGGCGGUGGGGAAUGUUGCACAAUGGGCGAAGGCCUGAUGCAGCGACGCCGCGUGAGGGAUGACGGCCUUCGGGUUGUAAACCUCUUUCAGCACCGACGAAGCGCAAGUGACGGUAGGUGCAGAAGAAGGACCGGCCAACUACGUGCCAGCCGCCGCAGUAA